ACGCUCGACACCUACGGGAGGCAGCAGUGAGGGAUAUUGGUCAAUGGGGGAAACCCUGAACCAGCAACGCCGCGUGAGGGAUGACGGUCUUCGGAUUGUAAACCUCUGUCCUCUGUGAAGAUAAUGACGGUAGCAGAGGAGGAAGCUCCGGCUAACUACGUGUCAGCAGCCGCGGUAAUCUGAGCGGGCUGGCAAGGC
RNAcentral lists this ribosomal RNA (198 nucleotides) under uncultured bacterium. RNAcentral's name for it is "partial 16S ribosomal RNA". It matches the Rfam family "Bacterial small subunit ribosomal RNA", at positions 328 to 539 of the family's 1533-position model. The record is from RNAcentral.